GAGUCUAUAGCUCAGCUGGAUAGAGCAACGGCCUUCUAAGCCGUGGGUCGGAGGUUCAAAUCCUCUUAGGCUCG
This 74-nucleotide transfer RNA is filed under the name Eubacteriales bacterium. RNAcentral's name for it is "tRNA-Arg". It matches the Rfam family "tRNA". Rfam says of the family: Transfer RNA (tRNA) molecules are approximately 80 nucleotides in length. Their secondary structure includes four short double-helical elements and three loops (D, anti-codon, and T loops). Further hydrogen bonds mediate the characteristic L-shaped molecular structure. tRNAs have two regions of fundamental functional importance: the anti-codon, which is responsible for specific mRNA codon recognition, and the 3' end, to which the tRNAs corresponding amino acid is attached (by aminoacyl-tRNA synthetases). tRNAs cope with the degeneracy of the genetic code in two manners: having more than one tRNA (with a specific anti-codon) for a particular amino acid; and 'wobble' base-pairing, i.e. permitting non-standard base-pairing at the 3rd anti-codon position. Lineage: Bacteria; Bacillati; Bacillota; Clostridia; Eubacteriales. The record is from RNAcentral.